This 491-nucleotide ribosomal RNA is filed under the name uncultured bacterium. RNAcentral describes it as "partial 16S ribosomal RNA". It matches the Rfam family "Bacterial small subunit ribosomal RNA", at positions 29 to 506 of the family's 1533-position model. The record is from RNAcentral.
AGUGAACGCUGGCGGUAGGCCUAACACAUGCAAGUCGAACGGCAGCACAGUAAGAGCUUGCUCUUACGGGUGGCGAGUGGCGGACGGGUGAGGAAUACAUCGGAAUCUACUUUUUCGUGAGGGAUAACGUAGGGAAACUUACGCUAAUACCGCAUACGACUUACGGGUGAAAGCAGGGGAUCUUCGGACCUUGCGCGAUUGAAUGAGCCGAUGUCGGAUUAGCUAGUUGGCGGGGUAAAGGCCCACCAAGGCGACGAUCCGUAGCUGGUCUGAGAGGAUGAUCAGCCACACUGGAACUGAGACACGGUCCAGACUCCUACGGGAGGCAGCAGUGGGGAAUAUUGGACAAUGGGCGCAAGCCUGAUCCAGCCAUACCGCGUGGGUGAAGAAGGCCUUCGGGUUGUAAAGCCCUUUUGUUGGGAAAGAAAAGCAGCAGGUUAAUACCCCGCUGUUCUGACGGUACCCAAAGAAUAAGCACCGGCUAACUUCGU